AAUCUGCUAUUGUACUGUGACAUAAUUACAGAAGUUUGUUUAUUUAAAUUGUUUGAAAUGCUCAAAUAUUUUCAUUGGAUUUCCUAAGAUUAAAGAAUUGAUGUUGUCAAAUAUUUUGAUUCUUUGUUCAACAUGUGGCUCUGGGGUUUAUUUAUAUUUGAAAGCCUUUGUGUAUGUCUGAUGUGGAAUCAGUCGAAAUUUGAACUGUGAUCACUUACAUUGCCAAAAAUCAUAUCCUAAUCUGGAGUCGAGAUUCUGAUGUUGAUCAUCCAACCAAAGAUACAUUUGAAAAUAAGGGUUCGGAGGUUAGGUUUUUACCGAGAUUCGGGACCUCGACUUCUCUAAAGUACUCUGAUGGGAAGAAUUCAGUCAAGCAUUCGGCGUAAAUAUUGGGGUUUUCACAGCCCUUUGUGUGAUUGUGGGGUUUUGAUUGAAAGUACAGUUCCGCCAUGUCGUCCCCCUAGGCUGGACCGUGUGAUUAAUAACUGCUCGUAUUCGAGGAGGUCGAUUUUGCCUGUAGAGUUCAUCAAAAAGGUUAGAAAGAGAAAUUUGAGGAGAAUAGAACCUAAGGAGGAUGAUGAUGGUGAGCUGGAGAACACUAAGGAUGAAGAAGGCGAUGACUAGGCUUCGGUUUCAAAAUUUGCUGGUAAAAAGAAAGGGAAGGCCAAGAAAGAUGGAAGCAAUAAUGCGUUGAGGGCUUCAAGUUUUGGUUUACUUGGAGAAGGAGAUGAUGAGGAUAAUGAAGAUUCAGGAAUAACAAAGAGAAUGUUGAUUAUGAAAAAUCAGGAUAAUGAAGUAGCAGGUUUUGCACCUUGUGAGAAGCAAAUUACUGAGCUUCCUAAAGUUGGAAAGGACGAGAGAGCACUGAAAGUGGCGAAGAGGAAGUUGGGCACCCACAAGAGAGCAAAGAAGCGUGAAGAGAUGGCAUUUGUUCUCCGGAAUCUGAGGGCUGCUGGACGUGGAGAAAAGAAGUAAACUGCUGCACUUGAUUUCUUAGGAGGGUUUCACGGUUUACAUCAAAUCAGAGAUAAGAUUUGAGUUGUUUAGCCACUUUAUAAACUUAAACUGGAGAUUGUAAUUUUUAUUUGACCGUUUGGAGAAGUUUGUUGAUGAGACUUGUUUUUUAUUGAAGGUUUUGCUAACCGUAUUUUUCUACUUGAUAUUCA
Molecule: long non-coding RNA, 1166 nt
Organism: Olea europaea var. sylvestris
Lineage: Eukaryota; Viridiplantae; Streptophyta; Magnoliopsida; Lamiales; Oleaceae
Exons: 3
Source: RefSeq, a predicted model, not a curated record